RNAcentral lists this long non-coding RNA (22137 nucleotides) under Lynx pardinus (Iberian lynx). The stretch from base 10879 to 10963 matches the Rfam family "tRNA". Lineage: Eukaryota; Metazoa; Chordata; Mammalia; Carnivora; Felidae. The record is from RNAcentral.
CUUGGCAGCUGUCUGGGCGAGAGACGCAGCCAUGGGCUCCGUGCUUAGCAGCGAUAGCGGCAAAUCCGCCGCCGCCUCGGCCGCCCCGCGGGCCCUGGAGCGCAGGGGGGACCCGGAGCUGCCCGUCACGUCCUUCGACUGCUCCGUGUGCCUCGAGGUGUUGCACCAGCCCGUCCGGACCCGCUGUGGCCACGUGUAAGUGCCGGGGGAGCUCGGCUCGCGCGCCCACCCUGGAGAGGGAGAGGUUGGGGGAAGGCCAUGGGGGAUUUCAGGAGCCAGCGCUCGAAUGAAGCUACCGCAGGGAGACACCUGGACCCGUCGAGUGCGGGCCGCGGGAAAAAUGACCAGUCGGAAGGUGACACAGGAUUUCAGGAGGCGAAAACAUUAACAAGCGGGCUCUGCAGCGCCUCCCCCCAUCACCCCAGCUGCUUGUUCCCGGAGCCCAGGUGCAGAACCCCAGGGAUGGGGAUCCCAGGAGCGGGACCCUCCGGGAGCCGGGGCUUGCCAAGUGGGGAAAGUGCUGUUGGCUGGAGAGCCAGCACCCGCUUCGGCACAAGGCAGUGGGCUCCUGCAGAGCAUUUCUCCCGCUGAACUCAGUUAAUCGGGCCGUGCUUCCCCCUCGCCCUCCCCGCAGAACCCAGGUCGGUUUUGUUUUGCUGGCUUGUGCACGUGUUCUAGAACGCCCUCUGAGGCUAGCCUGUUGAGCAAACAAAGAUCUGAGCAAACUAUCCUUCCACCCCCACCUCCCUUUCCUAACACGGACAUUCAGGCCCCUGAAAGAUCAACCCAAACUGGAACGCCCAAGUGACUCUGUAGUCCUAACAGUUUAAGUACCUGUCAGGGCGGGGCUGGGAUUUGAACGUUAGCACGGAGCCCUGGAGUGUAGCCGUUUAAAAACCCAGCCACAAAGUGACGGGAGCUUGCAGACUACCCUCCCUUACGCAGCGCUUCCCUAAAUCGCCGGAAAGUAUAGAUAAAAAUAACGGUCUUAAAAACCAGGUACCAUGGAACUAAAACUUGCUGUUAGUUUCUAAGAAGAGUUUAAAAGCAAAAUCCCUAUGUAAAACGUGUGCUUGAGUAACUAGUAAUAGGAGUUGGAUCUGUGGAUUCGUUCACUCUGUUUACAUAGAAGCUUGCUUUCCGUGGCUGCCUGGGUGUGUGGCCGAGUGUGUGCCUGUUGGAGUCGGGGUGCGGGGAUGGGGGGUGGUUGCAGAGAGAGCGGAAGCCCGCUUCAUGUCUUUGGCCGGCCGUUUAUAGUUUGAUGAAGCUCCAAGGCAAUAAUACCCCAAUGGCUAGUUAAGUGUUUUUGGCUUACCAGGAAAAAAGUUACCAUAUUAUAAAUGCACGUGCACAAAAUGUUUUUAAAAGGACUGAGGUGGUCCUUGACACCUAUAGACCAGUAACUGAGAAGCAGUUUUCACCACUGAAAAGCCCAGUAGUGAGCCAAGGAAGAAAAAUGCAGCCCACACAGUGUUUUAAAUAAAGAGUGCCCUGGGCAUUAUUUUGUGGCUGCAUUUUCAGGGCCUGUUGUUUCAGCUUUGUACUUUAAACUCAAGUCUAAUUGACCUCCUGUCUGAUUACUGAUGUUGUUUCUCAGCUGUCCAGAUAUAGUUCAUUGACAUAAACCCCAAGGCCAAGAUGGAAGCCAAGAUAUUGUUGUGUGAGGGUAUAAUAUAUUGAUUAGCUCAGGGCAGUAAUAACCUUGUGGUAACUACAUUUAAAUGUAGCCUGAAUGAGCAUUAAAACUUUAAAGUUGCCCCAAAGAUACACAGUGGGUGUCAAGUCUUGAAGGUGUCUUUUGUAGAACUGAAUUGAAUUGGGUGACUUUGGUAUUGGAGAUUGUUAUCUGAUUGGGGAUAGUUUUCUAUCCACCCCCCCCUCCUUUUGGAGUUUGAAUACUAUAACUUACUGUUCGCAGGGUUUUGGUUCUGCUGAAGGAUAAUACAUAGGUGUAAAAAGUUAAAUCUUUUGUUUAAUCUUUUUCUUUGUUAGAGUUUGAAUAGGAAACCAGCAACUGGAAAAAUAGUCAUGAAGUAGCACAACAAGGGCUGGAGGAAUGGCCUUCCCUCACUUUUACUGUUCUUUGUUUUGACAAAUCUAUGUCCAUUGUUCUGGCUGUGGGCAGAAUUUCCAUAUUCCUCCCUUUGGCAAAUUUAGUUGGGCCCCUUCCACUUUCUAAAUGUUAACUCCAAUUCCUUCUGCACUGGAGACUGUGAGUGCUGUUAACACCAUUUGUAUUUCUGAAAUGAAUUACUCUCUUCCAUUGACCUUUGAUUGGAAAAUGAAGAAAUGCAGAUGAAACCUGUCUGUAUUAUCCCAUAUGGAAGCUAAUUUCCAAACUUUUUGAACUUGUUUGUGUAUGCUGAUUUCUGUUUAUAAACUGAUUUCAUAGAGGGCUCCUGGAUGGCUCAGUCCUUUAAGGGUGCCACUCUUGAUUUCAGCUCAGGUCUUGAUCUCAGGGUGUGAGUUCAAGCCCCACGUGGGGCUCCGUGCUGGGUGUGGAAGCCUACUUAAAAAAAAAAAAAUAAUAAUGAGUAAAAUAAAAUAAACCUAUUUCAAGUCAAGCAAGAUAUUAAUAAUGGCAAAAAUACAUUGAAUGAAUAUGUACAUAGCACUUUAUAAAUCGUAUUGUGAUGCAGUAGAAACAGUGGGCUUGAUUUGAAAUUCAGCCCUGCCACUGACCAGCAGUCUGACCACCACGUUGCUGAAUCUCUUUGACUGUUUCUUCAUUUGUAAAAUAGGGUGAAUAAUGGAAUUUUUAUGAAUUUUUAAGAAAUGUAAAAGUAGCUCAUCAUAAGGCCUCAAUACAGGAUUUCUAUUUCCUUUAAAGUCAUUCCACAAAGCAAGAACCCACGAACAGUAUUAUUUCUUAUCUUUAUAUUUCUUUUAGAAUAAAACUGGGCCAUAAAAGAUUGAUCUGUGACAUUUUCAAGAUGUCCCAGAUAGCCUUUCUUUUAGCUUAGUUCUUUUUCCUUUGGUGGCCUUGAAUUUAAGAAGUUCUAUUUUAAUGCUCUGUCAUUUCAAAUUGACUCUAUUCAUAUCUCUGUAUCAGUUGUUAAAACAUAUGUUGGGGGAAAGGUUUCCUACCUCUACUUUAUCUUCUACUAUCAGUGGGUGAGGGGGAGGGGGUAGAUGAGGAGGGGGCAGAUAAGUUGAAGCUGUAUAAAGGAAACUGAAAGGGAGUCUGGUUUAUAUUUAAAGUAAGUAUUCAAGGAAAUUUGUUGACCAGUUGGAUAUGAUAAAGGGGGGAGAAAGGGGUGGAAGGCAACUCCUUAGCAAGUAACAGAUAAAAGGGGACAGAGUUCAGCUCAGGAGGUUGUUAAUGAACAGGUGAUGGGGCUUGUUGAGCGUACAGUGGUCUGAGAGGGAAAUAUCCAAAUAGAAAUAUCCCAAAGGCACUGGGACAAUGGGUUUGGGGAAGGGUCAGAGCUGGAGCUAAGGGAGUUAUCUAAAAGAAUCAAGAGGUUGAGGGGUGCCUGGGUGGCUCAGUUGGUUAAGUGUCCGACUUCUUCCGCUCAGGUCAUGAUCUCACAGCUCAGCUCGUGGGUUCGAGCCCCACAUCAGGCUCUGUGCUGACAGCUCAGAGCCUGGAGCCUGCUUCGGAUUCUGUGGUCUCCCUCUCUCUCUCUGCCCGUUACCCCUUACUUGUGCUCUGUCUCUGUCUCUCUCAAAAAUAAAUAAAAGCAUUUAAAAAAAAAUUUUUUUUAAGUAUAUCCCUUGUCAUAUAGAGAUAGGUGUUAAGGAUAAAAAAAAUAGGCGAGGGAAUGGGAUGGGAAGUAUGUGGGAGAGAUGCAAUUUUAAAGAUAUUUAGAGCAGUGCUUCUCAAAUUAUCUGCUGUAAAGAACCACUGAGGUUUUGUUUGUUUUGUUGUGUUUUUCAGCCCAUCACUGACCAAUACUUUUAUAAAAUAAAAAACAUAUUAUGGGAAACUGAAAUUUAAAAAUACCAAAGAUACAUAAAACACAAGCCCUCAUUUUAAAAGUUAUUAAAUAUACUCAACAGACAUAAAAUUACUCUGUCAGAUUUCUAUACAAGCUUCUGAAAAUACUUCUCUCAAUUUCUAUACUUAAUUCAGCAUGAACUAUUAAUAAACAGGGUCUCAACAACCUUUUUUUGGAGGAAGUUAGAAGGUGAGGAAGGUAGUUCAGCUCGAGAAAAAUGUAAGGGGCAGUUGCAUGGGGUGUGGGACAUUUAUUUUAUUUUAUUUCUUAAAUGUUUACUUAUUUUUGAGAAAGAGAGAGUGCAAACAGGGGAGGUGCAGAGAGAAAAGGGGGGACAGAGGAUCCAAAGCAGGCUCUGCGCCAACAGCAGACAGCCCAAUGCCGGGCUUGAACUCUUGAACCAUGAGAUCAAGACCUGAGCUAAAGUUUGAUGCUCAACCAAUUGAGCCACCCAGGCGCCCCUAAAUGAGGAUUUUGAACAGAGUCAUGGCAUGAGCUGAUUUAAAAGGAUGACUCUGGCUGCUGUGUUGAGAAUGGACUGCAGUGGGAAGAGCAGGACCGGGAGAGUGAGUUAGGAGGCCACUGUAAUAAUCCAGCAAAGAGACCAGGACCAACCAGCAAGGGAACAGUGGAGGUGGUGAAUGGUGGAAUUUUAGAUCAGUAUGAAGGUGUAGCUAACAAGAUGGAUUCAAUGUGGAGUGUGGGAGGAAGUGAGGAGUCAAGGCUGAGUGUAAAGUGCUUGGCUUGAGCCAAGGUUGGGGUUGCCCUAAUUGAGAUAGGAAAGACUGGGAAGGUGGAAUGAGGAACAAGGUCAGGUCAGGCGUUCCAUAACUGACAGGCCAAGUUUGGGACAACCAAGAGAUGUUGCAUAGGCGAUUGGAUAUAUGAGUCUAGAGUUCAGAGGAAGAUCUGAACUGUAGAUAAAUGAAACUGGGAAUCAUAAACAUAUCCUUGAUAUAAAUCCAUGGGACUGGAUGAAUUUAUUGAGGAGUAAGUGUAGUCAGAAAAGAAUAGAGGUCCAAGGACUGAGCAGUGGUACGUACCAACAUUUGGAAGCUGAGACAUGAAAACCUGAAAAUCAGGGGCACAUAGGUGGCUCAGUCAGUUAAGCAUCCAACUCUUGGUCUCAGCUCAGGUCAUGAGCGCAUGGUUCAUGGGAUUGAGCCCCACAUUGGGCUCUGCACUGGCAGGGAGGAGCCUGCUUGGGAUUCUCUUUCUCCUUCCCUCUCUGCCCCUUCCUUGCUUGUGCAUGUGCGCUCUCUCUCUCUCUCUCUCAAAAUAAAUACAUAAACAUUAAAAGAGAGAGAGAGAGAGAGAGAGAGAGAGAGAGAGAGAGAAAACUUGUAAAAGAAGUAGCCAUAGGGGUAGGAAGGAAACCAUCUGGUGUCCUGGAGGCCAAGUGAGUGCAAGAAGCACUUUGGAGGGAAGAGGGAUCCAUUGAAUCUAGUGAUGCUUGAAGGUCUGGGGGAUGAAGAUUGAGAAUUGAUCACUGGAUUUAGUAAUGUGGAGGCUAUUGGUGACCUUGAGAAGAGCAGUUUCAGUGGAAUGGUAGGUGCCAAAGCCUAAUUAGAGUGGUUUGGUGAUCGAUCAUAGGCGCUAGAGGAAAGAAGCAUAGGAAUUCCUUUGUUGUAGUUGGGAGGCAAAGCGAAAGAGAGAAAUUGGGACAAUAACAGGAAGGAGAAGUGGCAUCAAGAGAGUUUUCUUAUAAGAGAAGAAAAAUGGUGUAUGCCACAUGGUUAUGGAAAUGAAUCAAUAGUGAGGGGGAAACUCAUUCAUGGGAGAGGAGAGAAUUUCAGAAGCAAUGCCCUGGAGUGGGAGGAAGGUGCUGGAAUUUACAAGCCCGGAUUGGGGAGUGGAGGGAGGAUUGGCCUUAGCUAGGAGAAUGGACAGUUUGUUCAUUUCACAGGAUGUAGAGCAUUAAAUGGGCGCAGAUGCAGGUGAAUUGAAGAAGUGGAAUAUUGUGGAAGUUCCUAACUGAUUGCCAAUUAUCAUUGACAUAUUAUUUGACCUGUGAUUUGACUUCAAGAUGAAACUUGGAAGUUUAAAUAUGAGCAUCCAGACCCCUGAUGUUAAAGCAAGCGUAUACAGAAUGAUUCCUCUUCCCCGUGUGCUUGGGUUAAGCAUCACUUAAAUUCAGGUGAUUAGAAUCUCUUGUACCAUCAAGGUCCAAACACUCUGGAGAGCCGUUGCUCUAAUAAAAGAAUGCUACUUCCUACAUUGCUGUUCCUUAAAAGUCUGGCACUUAGUGGAUGUUUAAUAUUAGUUGAAUUAAUGAAUGAGUCUAAAAUAAAAUGCAGAUUGAAUACUUUGGUGAAUGUCCCUCAGGCAGGAACAACCACUCUAUAGUGACAGCCAACGGAUGCUAUGUAGUUGAGUAACAGAUAGCAGUUCCAUCAUAGUUUUUGAACUCCAUUAUUUUUAUGAGGUUACUCAUCUGUCCCUGUAUUACUGAGAAUUUCAGAAAGAUGUGAUUAAGCUGGCCUGAAAUAUGCCUCCUCUGGUGGUUGGACUGCUCUGUGUUUACUUAGCAACAUUAGUAUUGUCAUAGGCAAAUUAAAUAUUAGUGAUCUGUUAAAUUAUGUAUUCUCUAACAAACAAAACCUAAAUAAUGUAGCAGAUUGAGUUUUAUGUCGAGAUUUUCCUCAGAACUUGGCUGCGGGCCCGUGGACCAGGAGCAUUGCAGAAUCUUGGGUCCCAUCUCACAUCUACUGAAUUGGGAACUGUUUUAAUAGGAUGUUUAGGUGAUUGAUAGCCAUGUUCAAGUUUGAAGCAUGGCUUUAGCCAACCCUAUUUAAUUGACAGUCAAAUACAGCAAGUUGAGGACAGCAUUUGAAGGUUAACGAGAGGCACCCCUCUAAGAUUUUAAGUUAAAAAAAAUAGAAUUUUUCUUUAGGGGGUUAAAUUUUAUUUAUUUAUAUUUUAAUGUUUAUUUAUUUUUGAGAGAGAGAGACAGAGCACAAGUUGGGAAGGGGCCGAGAGAGAGGGAGACGCAGAAUCCAAAGCAGGCUCCAGGCGGUAAGCACAGAGCCCGACGCGGGGCUUGAACCCACAAACUGUGAGAUCACAACCUGAUCAGAAGUCAGUUGCUUCACCGUCUAAGCCACCCAGGCUCCCCUAGGGGAUUAAAUUUUAAAUCAACACAUAAUGUGGUAUAGAGAUAUGCAGAGUCAGGUUUUGGAAGCUGAACCAUUCCCGGGAUGGACUUUGAGUGGAACCUAAUUGAAUACAUAAAUACAUCAAAGGAAAUCUUAGGGGCAGUGGGUGGCUGGAGGGUUUAUGCUCUAAGAAUAGCUGUACUCAGGCCUGUCCAGGCUGAUGCUUGUAGGUGAAGAGGGAGUGGGGGGUGUGUGGGUGUGUGUACGUGUUUAUUGCCCUACACUGGAAUGUUUUAGCCUAAGAUUCUUAUCACCUUGAAUAACAAUAGCAAUUCCCCUUAUUCUAUUCACAUUUUCAAGCUUACCAAGCCCGCUCAAGAUUUUCAUUCAGCUUCCCAUCGGCAUGCCCACAGUGAGGCAGCUUCUUAAGAACAGAAAUAAAAUGUUAGAUCUACCUCAUGUUGCCAGUGGCUCUUCCAGAGUCCCAUUUGGGACGAUGUCUGGAUACUUCUUUUGCCUGUUUACCCUUAGACCCCAUGGAGUCCCUAAUGCACCCCUUCCCUCCUUACUAUACAUAGGGUUCAGUUUUACCUCUUGAGAUUGGGUACAUAAUUGUACCCGGUGUCCUCAGCAAGCCUUUCCUUAGUUUUCUACAAUGCUUUGCUGACCUCUUCAUUAUAAGGGUCUUAUUGAUAAUCACGUAAUUUCAGGAAACAGCAAGGAGUUAAUAAAAUAACUCUUGGGAGCAGGGUAUUUAAGUUUCCAUCUGGUUUCAGAGAUCUUAGAGUCAUUUCCAUAUGAAUGAAUCCAUAAUUCAUUUCUUCAGGAGCUGCAAACAACAAGUGAUGUAAAUGAAUGUGGAGGGUGAGUACUCCACAGGAUGGGGGCAUUAGCCCACAUGACCACAGGGGAAUUGAGUCCAGACUUGGAGGAGACUAGCUUUUCACGAAAAGUCAGAAAUUUGGGUUUAGUUGUAAGAUCUGAUUUUAAAGCAAUGGCAACUCCCUCAGAAUUUUUAAAAAAUAUUUAUUUAUUUUUAGGAGAGCGCAAAUGGGGAGGGUCAGAGAGAAGGGGACAGAGGAUCCCAAGCAGGCUCUGCACUGACAGGCUGACAGCAGCGAGCCCUGUGUGGGGCUUGAACUCACGAACCGCGAGAUCAUGACCUGAGCCCAAGUCGGACGCUCAACUGGCUGAGCCACCCAGGCGCCCCUCACUCAGAAUUUUUGAAAACAUUGAAGUAGUUUUAAAAAAAAAUACAAUGCCUUCUAUCCUUAGCUUCUGUCUUUCAUCCAAUUUCUCUUCAUUCUGAUUAUGUCUUUUAUGAUUGAUCAUUCUCAACCACCUUAUGAAGGUGGGGAGGGGGCAGACAAAUAGGAAUCGCUUAUUGUGUUCAUUUCUAUCCCUUGGGUUCUUUCAGAAGGAUACAACAGUGUUAUUGAUGGGAAUGUUGGGCCCUGCCCAGAAAAUUCUCCUUUGAUCCAUUCCUCAUAAGUGAUUUAGUUAUUUCAGUUUACUGAGUAGCUACUAUGUGCCUGGGGUGGGGUAGGAAGGAGGCCUGCAAGAUUCUGAAUGGUUCUCGGGCGCCUGGGUGGCUCAGUCGGUUGAGCGUCCAACUUUGGCUCGGGUCAUGAUCUCACAGUUUGUGAAUUCGAGCCCCGCAUCAGGCUCUGUGCUGACCGCUUGCUCAGAGCCUGGAACCUGCUUCAGAUUCUGUGUCUCCUUCUCUCUCUGCCCCUCCCCCGCUCACGCUUUGUCUCACUCUGUUUCUCAAAAAUAAAUCAAUGUAAAAAAAUUUUUUUUUUAAAAAGGAUUUUGAAUGGUUCUGAGCCGUAUGUAUUUCGGUGCUCUUCUUAAUGCAAUGUUGUUGUUUCCAGUCUAUUGUCCCUGGGGCAUUUAAAAAAAAUUUUUUUUAAUGUUUAUUUAUUCUUUGAGAAAGAGAGAGAGCAUUAACGGGGAGGGACAGAGAGAGGGAGACACAGAAGCAGGCUCCAGGCUCCCAGCUGUCAGCAGAGAGUCCGACGCGGGGCUCAAACCCAUGAAACACGAGAUCAUGACCCAAGCCAAAGUCAGAAGCCCAACCGACUGAGCCACCCAGGCGUGCCAUCACUGGGGCAUUUUUGUUUUGUUGUGUUGUUUUUCAGUUUUAUUGAGGUGAUACAGUACAAUUCACACAGUGUACAAGUUGAUGGAUUUUGGUAGUUAUCUACAAUCCUAUAACUACCUCCACAAACAAGACCUAGUACAGUUAAUUACAUUACCCUAAAAAGUUCCUUCAAAUUCUUUUUUUUUAAACAUUUUUGUUAAAAUUUUUAUUUAUUUUUGAGAGAGAGAGAGAGUGCAAGCAGGGGAGGGGCAGAGAGAAGAAGACAGAGGAUCUGAAGGACUCCAAGAUGGCAGCAGAGAGCCCAAUGUGGGGCUCGAACUCAUGAACUGUAAGAUCAUGACUUGAGCUGAAGUCGGAUACUUAGCUGACUGAGUCACCCACGUCCCCCUCCUUCACCUUGUUUGUAGACAACUCUCUUCCCAAACCCCUGGCUCCAACAACCCCAUCUGCUUUCUGUAACUACGUUUUGGGAUCCUACAAUAAGUACUCUUUUGUGUUUGACUCAUUUUACUUAUUAUAAUAGGGCAUAUAUUUGUUGUCAUUUGGUAUGUCAUAAGUCCCUUUGCCUCACUUCCAAAAUAAAUUCUGAAUCUGUCCGCUUACACUGUCUAUUGCCUUUUUGCUGGUCUAAGCCAUCCCCCUCUCUUGAACUUACUCUUCCAAUGACUUAAACCUAAGCUCCUCACUCUUAGGAGGCUCUUGUACCUCUGUAAUCUGUUCUUCAGGGACCCCAAGUGAUCUAUAUAAUGUAAGUCAAAUUGCAUCACCCUCCUUCUUAAAACCCUCCAGUGCCUUCCGAUGACCCUUAGUUAUGGCUUUAUGGUCGUCUCCUGACCCUUUACUCCCCUUUCCCAUAUCUCCAGGUAUUCUCCCUGGGACUUCCUGCCUUUCAAGCAUGCUGGCUUUCUAUACCUCAGCAACGUCGUCCCUGUCUUUUGUACUCUUUGUUUUCAGCUUGGAAAACCAUUCCCAGAUCUUCCUUAGAGUGGUGCCUUCAAGUAUCAUCUCAGGGACCACCCAUCUAAAUGCUCUCUCUGCCCCACUCAAUUUUUAUUGUCAACUGUUUUCUUCUCGAAGCAUUUAUCAUUUGCCGGUCUAUUUGUUUACCUGCUUAUUGCCUCUCUCCCAUUUCUAGAACUCUGAGAGCAGGGACCUUCGGCACUGCCACGAUUUCAUCUCGAACACUAACUGACAAUAGUAAGCAAUUACUAAAAAUGUCACCAGUGCAUGAAUGUUUGUAUGGGUGGGUCUAGGGAGGUUUGUGCAGAUUUAUGCAUUCUCUCAUAAAGUCUUCUGUAUAACCAUGGAUUAACUUUUCUUGCUAAAAGCGAUGGUUAUAAAAAUUCCUUAUGGAAUUUUCUCUCUUCAACCUUUUAUUGUAUUCCAAAUUGUUUUGCGCUCUUUAAAUUUAUUUAAGUAGGACACCUGGGUGGCUCAGUUGGUUAAGCGUCCAACUCUUGAUUUUGGCUCAGGUCAUGAUCUCACGGUUCGUGAGACUGAGCCCCAUAUCAGGCUCUAAGCUAGUAGCAAGGAGCCUGUGAGCCUGCUUGGGAUUCACUCUCCCUCUCUCUCUGCUCCUCCUCCCCGCUCAUGUGCAUUUGUGCACGCACACACGUACUCUCAAAAUAAAUAAACUUAAAGAAAUUUAUUUAAGUAGGCAUAAAUGCAGCAUAAUCUUUUCUUCAGAUGGAAUUUGGAUGUCCUUAAAAAAUAUUUUUAAAAAUAUUUUUUUCGGGGCGCCUGGGUGGCUCAGUCGGUUGGGCAUCUGACUUCGGCUCAGGUCGUGAUCUCGCGGUCUGUGAGUUCGAGCCCCGCAUUAGGCUCUGUGCUGUCAGUUCGGAUCCUGGAGCCUGCUUCAGAUUCUGUGUCUCCCUCUCUCUCUGCCCCUCCCCACUCGUGCUCUGUCUCUCUCUGUCAAAAAAAAAAAAAAAAAGAAUAAACGUUAAAAAAAAAAUUUUUUUUUUAAUGUUUUUCUCUUCAUGUUCCAUUAAACAUUUCAGGUUUCUCAUCCUCCAAAAAUUUCCCUUCCUAAAUUUACAGCUAACUUUUUCUCAGGAGUGAACAAACUUUAAGUCAUAGUAAGAUGGUUAAUUUUCCCUAACGUUUUUUCCCCUAACGUUUUAUUAUGAAGAACUUCACACCUACAGCUAAAUUGGAAGAAAUCGUACAGUGAACACCUAGAUAUCCACCAACUAGAUUCUACAAUUGUUAAUUUUGUUAUGUUGCUUUUAUCUCAUUUUAUCACAUACCUAUCCAUCAUUGAUCCACCUUACUUUUGGAUACAUUUCAGAGUAGAUUACAGUAAUCAGCACACUCAAUUCCUUCUUCUCUCAACAUACAUAGUACUAACCAGACUUCAGUAUUUGCUUAUGUUUUUUCGGGGUAAAUUACACCUGCGGUGAAAUGAAUACCUCCUAGAUAUAACCCCUAUUGAGGUACAGAAAUGUUUGUUACCUCCAGAUAGUUCCCUCAUGUCCACAUAUCGCCAGCCGAUCCCUGUCCAUGUAUCCCCCAUGGGCAACCAUUGUUGUGAGUUUUUUCCUAUCCCAUACAUCAGUUUUGCCAGUUUUAGGACUUCAUAUAAGUAGAGUUUAUACAGGAUGUGCUCUGUUGUGUCAGGCUUCUUUCUCUCAGUAUAUCUUUUUUUUUUUUUUAAUGUUUAUUUAUUUUGAGAGAGAGUGAGUAUGCGCAUGGGGAGGGCCAGAGAGAGAGGGAGACAGAGAAUCCCAAGUAAGCUCCAUACUGUCGGCACAGAGCCCACCUCGGGACUGGAUCCCACAAACUGUGAGAUCAUCACCGGAGCUGAAAUCAAGAGUCAGACGCUUAACCCACUGAGCCACCCGGGCACUCCUCACUUGGUAUGCCUUUGAGAUUCAUCCAUAUUGCUGUGUGUAUUGUAAUUUGUUGUUGUCUAGUACUCCAUUGGGGGAAUAUGCCUCAGUUUGUUUAUUCAUUUUCUUGUUGCUGACACCUGGGUUAUUUCAAGUUUGGGGCUGUUAUGAAAACAUUCCUUAUUAAUAUUCUUGUACAAAUAGACAUAUGUUUUCACUUCUUUUGAGUGAAAACGUGGGCUUGGUAUUGCAGGACCAAAGGGUGCCUAUAUAUUUUGUUUUCUAAAAAACUACCAGACCAUUUAUCCUGAAUGAUUAUAAUUGAUUAACUUUUUUAAAGAAUCAUUUAUUGUGUAGGUAAUAUGGUUAUAGGGUUAAACUUGAAAUUCGACGAUGAAAAUCUCCUCCUUCUACCACAUACUCACCUCUUCUUUCCAGUUCCCAUUUCUCCAAUGGGUAGGUAAAUGUUCUUUUUUUUUUUUUAUCCUUCUAGAUGCUUUUAUACAUCUACAAAUUAUAAAUAGCUUAUACUAUAUACAUAGUUCUACACUUUGCUUUCCAAGAGGUUGCAUUUUUGAGUUAUCUUGCUUUUGUGCCUUGUUACAUAGCUUAUAUAUAUACACACAUUACCUAAACCUGAAUAUCCCCAUAUGGAUUCUAAUUAGAUAACUCAUAUAAUGCUUGAUCACUUGUAUACUUCUUAUGCUAAUGCACUAGAGUAAGGAUAUUAAAUUCUCCAGUUCACAAGAUUUGAAUUUGAUAACUGUACCUUUAAGGGGAGAAUUUUAACCUCAGAUUUAAAAAAAUUUUUUUUUAAGUUUUUAUUUAUCUUAGAGAGAGAAUGAGAAUGCUUCUGGAGAGCUGGGGAUGGACUGGGGAGGGGCAGAGAAAGAGGGAGAGAAAGAAUCCAAAGCGGGCUCCAAGCUGUCAGCGCAGAGCCCAAUGGCUAACUAACCGCUAACCUCAGACUUUUUUGAACUAAGUAGUUCUGCAAUCUUAUUUCUGCACUCUAAACAUGAGACUUAAGUUGCAGUGGGAUCAAGUUCAUUUCCUUAUUGGUAACACUUUAAAAACUCGUGGUUUUUAUGUACUCAAAACCAGCAAGGUCAGUUUGUUCCAAAACACUUUAGCCUUGAUGUGUGUUCUCCAUUUAAUAAUCACUUUUGUUAAGAUGAGGACAACUAAUUGACUGACCUACCAGAUUUGCAACGAAUAUUCUCUCAUAUAAUGCAAUAACGUCGAUGUAUGCUCAUUUGAGAGUUUCCUGCCACGUCUAUCAUUGUGUAAAAAUAAUGUAGGGGAAUUAUAGUUGAGGGACUUGGUUUCUUUUAAUGCCUGAAGUGUGCUACUUUUCAUGAAUAUCUCCUAGGCAUUUCCAUUGUAGUUAUCAGUUGUAGUUACAAAAACACUUGCAAGACCCACAAAAUGACCAUAGAAAUGUACUCUGUAAAGCCCACUGGUUUAUACGAGUACACCCACAGUCUCAAAGUGUUGCUGCUUCUGCUGGUCACUGGGAGGAACUGAGAUGACUUAAAAAGGACUACAGCUCUUUAUUGACUCACAUGGGGUUUGUUCUGGUAAAGCCAUCCUAAAUUAAAGUAAGUCGAAAAUGCAUUUAAUACACCUGACGUAUUAAACCUCAUAGCUUAGCCUAGCCUGUAGCCUACCCAAAUAUGAUCAGAACGCUUACAUUAGCCCACAGUUGGGCAAAAUCGUCUAAUACAAAGCCUGUUUCAUAAGUGUUGAAUAUUUCCUAUGAUUAUUGACUGCUGUACUAAAAGUGCAAAACAGAAUGGUCAUGUGGGUGUAGGAUGGUUUUAAGUGUAUUGGUUGUUUCCCUGAGUGACUGACUGGGAGGGCCCGGCAUUGUAAGAGAGCAUCAUACUGCAUAUUCCUAGCCCAGGAAAAGAUCACAAUUCGAAAUCUGAAGUAUAGUUUCUACUGAAUGAGUAUCGCCUUUGCAUCACUAUAGUCAAACAACCGUAAGUGGAACCACUGUAAGUUGAAGACCUUCUACACAGACUUUUGAGCCCCGACCAAAACUACCUGGGGUUCAGGGUGUGUAAACUUGGCAAGUUACACCUCUGUGAACAACCUCAGUUUGCCUCCAGUCAAGUGAGGAAAAGGCAGAGCAGCAUUUUAGGGUUACUCUGGGAGCUAGGUGAGAUCAUGUCUAUUAGGGUCCACCACAGGGCAGGGCACCAAUAUUAGUCUUCUGUUUGUCUUGGUAUAAAACUCAAGUGAGUUGUGAGGAAAGGGGAAGGUUUUUAGUUGACUAAAAACAAAAACAAAGUAUCAUCCGCUUGUUCCUAAAUUAAACGAACCGAAGGUAUUGUGUCAGAAGUAUAACUUGAGCAUAUGGACCACUUGAAAUAAAUACCCUUCAAAAGUACACUCUGAGAACCACUUCUUGGGAACUCAAAGAAGUGCAAGGGCAGAAUGUGCCUUACAACGUGCAGUUAAUCACCUGUUAAUCACCUGAAGCUCAGAGAAGGAAAAUACAGCAGAGGACUUCGAUCUCUUGAUUCUGGUAGGAAUUUCUCUUGAAAGAACAGUUACUGAAUUUUGAGUCGGAAAACCCAGCUUAAGACCAACCAAGUUCAGGUACUUUCUACAGUUGUGACCUUGCAGAAGUAACUUAACCCUGAUGUGCCUCAAUUUCCUCUUCUAGAAGUGGCAAUAGUGAUCUUUCCUAGGGGUUUGUUAAGGUCAAAUGAAUUAAGGCACUUGGAAGUGUUUUAAAGUUUGUUAAAAAUAAAAAACAAAAGGGGCGCCUGGGUGGCUCAGUUGGUUAAGUGUUUGACUUUGGCUCAGGUCAUGAUCUCACUGUUCGUAGGUCCGGGCCCUGUGUCGGGCUCUGUGCUGACCGCUCAGAGCCUGCAACCUGCUUCAGAUUUUGUGUCUCUGUCUCUCUGUGCCCCUUCCCCGCUCGUGCUCUGUCUCCCUCUGUCUGCAAAAUAAAUAAAACAUUAAAAAAUUAAAAAAAACCACCAGUGUACGAAGUUUAAAGUUACUUCGAAUAAAAAGUUACUAAACAACAAUAAAAGCAAACCAUCUAGGAAAAAAGAAAGGGUAGGGAUCUAGACAGAUCUGGGAUUCCAAAUAAAGAGCAGGACAAUCCCAUCAAGUUGUUGCUGAAUCGGUCUUUAUGUCAGUCUGUUUAGUGUUCAUCUUCUAGAGAGAGGGUUUACUGAGUCUGGCCCAUUCCAGGUGCUCUUGUCUUCAGCAGGGGAUUGUGGGCACCUUGACUGAGGUCCCACCAGAUUGUGUCUAAGAGGUGUAGUUCCUGCACAGCAAAAUCAGGAUGCUGUUGCAAGAAAGAGGAAAUGGAUGUUGGACAGGCAUAAACAUCAAGCAAAUGCCUCAAGAACAAUGCAAAUGUCAGCAUCCUUUGUGUGCAUAUAACAAUUAAAAAAAUACUUUUAAAUGUUUAUUUAUUUUUGAGAGAGAGAGAGAGAGAAAGCGAGCGGCAGAGAGAGGGUCAGAGAGCAAGGGAGACACAGAGUCUGAAGCAGGCUCCAGGCCCUGAGUUGUCAGCAGAGAGCUGGACACGGGGCUCAAACUCACGACCUGCAAUAUCAUGACCUGAGCCAAAGUUGGACACUCAACCGACUGAGCCACCCAGGUGCCCAGACAUUACGAUUAGUUUAUCAGAAUAAUAACAUGUAUGGUAUUUUGCCUCCUUGACUUCUUGCUACUUUCUUCUCUAACAUACAAAAUCCCACAGAGCAAAGACCUAUUUUCUCCCCGAAUUCCCCCCCAGAAUUAAAGAAAAGAAAGAACACAUUAAGUAUCCUUUGGGUUAUGGUUUUCAUUCUGUUUAUGGGAAUUCUAUUCCACUACUUUGUGUUCUUUUGUUUCAGUGCAUGCAGUGCAUGAAGUGAGUUGUGACUCCAAAGAAGUCUCAUGUGAAAGCAAGAGACUGUCUGCCAAGCAGGGGAUGCAAAUGCACAUUGCAUUUGGUAGUACAGCUCCUAGCGUGCAAGGUGCCGUGAAAAUACAGUGUGCACAAACAAACACAGAGUGGUGGCUCCUUUAUACCUUUUCAGGAGAGUGAUGUAUUCUUGGUUUCUUCUGGGUAGAUUCUGCCGUUCCUGUAUCGCUACCAGUCUAAAGAACAAUAAAUGGACCUGCCCUUAUUGCCGGGCAUAUCUUCCUUCAGAAGGAGUUCCAGCAACUGAUGUAGCCAGAAGAAUGAAAUCAGAGUACCAGAACUGCGCUGAGUGUGACAGCCUGGUAAGUGGCCCUCUGCCUGUGCUCACGGUUCCCGGCUUGGACUGCUGAGGAAAUUGUUACGCAGCUGAUCAUUUCACCCAUGCCUCUGCCUUCAUCCUACCCUGACUUUCUAAAGUUUAUUGUCUCUGCCUCUCCCCUUCCUUCUCUCUGUUCUCAUAUGUGUAGGCUGUGGUGCAAUUGGCCCCUGACUCCUACCAUCACCUAAUUUUUCAGACAAAUGCUUUCACCCACCGCUUCCAUUUCCUCCCUUCCCGUCGGUCCUGUGACCUCCUCCGCCCCCAUCAUGUUGCCUACUGGCAUAAUUCCAGUGGCAUAUUUCCUCCUGUAUUCUGGACUUUGCAGUGUUUCUCUCCGUUGAUCACAUCUUUCUGCGGGUUUCCUACUAGCCUGGUUAGAUCAUGUGAGGUGUCAAAGACCAUGGGAAGAUUCUAGAUUUUAUCCUAAAUGCAGUAGUGAGUCACUGAGUGUAAGCUUUCGAUCAGGUUCAUAUUUUUAAGAUAUUGCUCUGGCAUGUGGGCGCAGAAUGAUUUGGAGGGGGCACAUCAGGAUUGGUGAAGCCAGUUCAGUGGCUAAGGAUGGCUAAGGUAAGAAAGGUGGGUUAGGGCGAGAGCGUUAGACAAGGAUAAAGGAUUGUUUCGAGGGGUGUUUAGGAGAGACAGUGGAAGGAAAUCGGUAACUGACUGGAUGUGGGGGUGAGUGAGAAUAUAAAGUGUCAGAAGAAUCCUCCCAGGUUUCUGACAUGCGUAGGUGAAGGUGCUGAUAUAGAGAGCAAAUUUGGAGAAGAAUCCACAGAGUUUUAAAUAUGUUACAUUUGAACUGCUAAGGGGGGGAUAAUUAUUAUAUGAAGUCUAGAGAUCAAAAGAGAGAUUACGUGCUGAGGAUCUGAAUUUUUUAGAGAACCUUUCUUGAUUGUUAAUCUAUGUUAUGUUUUCUUAGUACCCUAUGCUUUCUCUUUGUACUAUUCAUCACCAUUUGGAAUUAUGCUUUUGGGAUUUUUUAAUAUAAUGUCAGUUAUCCCCACCAGAUUUGAUUUCCAUGAGGGUAAAGGACUGUCUAUUUUAUUGGCAACUGCGUACCCAGCACUUUGAAGAGUGACUGGUGCACAGUGCUUAAUAUAUUUUUUUGAAUAUUUAUGUAAGACUCCAUAAUCUGUUCAUGGCUGUCUGACUACAGAAUGUAUGCAUGGUCUUUGGAGUCAGACAUCCUGGGAUCAAACACGAAUUCUGUCAUUCAUUGUUUGUGAUUUGGGGACGUCAUCAUCUAAGUAUGAGUUCAUCUUUUUGUAAAAUGAGGGAAAAGAUAGUGUUCAUGAGGUGCCUAAGUGGCUCAGUCAGUUAAGGGUCCUACUCUUGAUCUCAGCUUAGGUCUUCUUGACCUCAGGGUCAUGAGUUUGAGCCCCUCAUUGGGCUCUGUGCUGGGUAUGAAUCCUACUUAAAAAAAAAAAAAAAGAUAGUGUUCAUGCCAUGGGAUGGUUGUAAGGGAAAAUGAUAAAACAUGUAUGGCUUUUAACACUGUCUGGAACAUGGUAAAUGCUCAAAAUCAAUAGCUUUUAAUAUUUAUAAUAAUAGAUUAUUGCUUAUUUUUACUUUGAUAUGUUUUGUCAUCAUAUAAAAUUCAACAUGCACAACUCCAACUCACUGUAGUAUUCUGUCAUCUAGUUUUUAUCCCACCUUUGGUGUCUAUCAGAAACAAGAAUAUUCUCUCAAUUAUCCUGAAUAGAAAUCCCCUUCCUUUUUUCACCCCUUAUAUCUGAUUAUUCACAAGUAUUUUGAUUUUUCCUUUGAGGUAUUUCUUACAACUGUCACUUCUUUUUUUUUUUAAUUUUUUUAAAUGUGUUUUCAUUUUUUUGAGAGACAGAGCACAAGCAGGGGAGGGGCAGAGAGAGUGAGAAACACAGAAUCUGAAGCAGGCUCCAUGCUGACAGCACAGAGCCCAAUGCGGGACUCGAACCUAUGAACCAUGAGAUUAUGACUUGAACCAAAGUCAGACACUCAACCAACUGAGACACCCAAGUGCCCCUCUGUCUCUUCCUUUUUAUGUUAUUCCUCUUGCCAGGGAUAUUGCCAUUCCUUCUUUAAAGUUUAUUCUUUACUUUGAAAGAGAGAGAGAGACAGAGAGAGAGAGAGAAAACCAGCUGGGGAGGGGCAGAAAGAGGUGGGGGACAGAGGAUUCGAAGCAGAGAUCUCAAUGCUGAGCUUGAACUCACGAGCUACAAGAUUGACCUGAGCCAAAGUCAGACACUUAACUGACUGAGCCACCCAGGCGCCCCACCUUCUAGAGCCAUUUUAGACUCUACCUAUUCUUCAGAGUCACGGCCAGAUUUCCAUUUCAGAGGCCUGGCCUUAGUAUUGGAGUCCCCAGUAUCAAACAGUUUCCUAUCUACUUGUCUACAUGUGGUUUUGCCCCCUUCUAUUAGAUUAUAAGCACCUAUAGAGCAAGCGCAGUGGCUUGCCAUCUCUUACAAUGUCUUCUACAAUUUUGUGUCUAGAGUAGACACUCCAUGAAUUUAUCAAUUCCUUUGUCAGUAUACAGUCCCCAAAUUUCUAAUUUGUAUGAAGAAUGUUUAUCUUUGUUGUUCAAGAAAUACAAAGGAAGAACUUUUAACAAAAGUAAUAACGAGAUGUGAGAGAAUUGACGUAUAAAGUUGGUUGUUAAAAGUUGGAAAACAAUGUUUUGACAGCUACCUCAAUCGGUCCUACUUUGUACAUCUUUUAGGUGGAUAUGUGUAAAACAAGGAUAUGUUUUCACUUUUCCACUUGCUUUUGUUUUUGUCUUUUGUUAAGCAAUUAUAACAGUUUCCUUACACGUUAGAUUUCAUGUUUGAGGUUUAACUUCCGUAGUUUGAGUGAAACGAAGCAGGGUGGGUCGACCACCUUACCACAGCAGUACAAAGCUUCUUUUAGCACAAGAUCUUAUCAGUUUCUAAUGAAACAUUUAGUAGAAUAUGUGUUAUUUAGCCACAGACAGCCUCAUGGUUAGGAUCUCUGAAUGUAUAUCUGGAGGAACAAGGGCUCUUUAUUCUGCCUUGGUAAAAAUGGACUGUAAGAACUGUCUUUUAUGUUUGCUCUUAAUGGGGCCAUUAAGUAUACUGUGUAUUGUGAAUUCAUGUAAUACCAUUGGAUAUAUUAUAAAACUGUGGUAUUUAUAUCUUUCCCUGAGGGACAGGAUUUCCUUUACUUACUAUGACCGUCUUUAAAAUUAAAAUCCAUCUUUUGGCUCUUUUUAUCUGUCAUGGUUUUCCUUUCCCUCUGUCUCUUUUUACUGUUUUCUUUUUUCUUUCCUCCACCUUGCUCUCUUUUUCCUCUCCCCUUUUUCUUUCUUACUUCUUAACCGUCACCAGAUUAGGUAAUGGCAUCCAAAAAAAGUAAAUUUGAGUUAAUAAAUGUCUUUCCACUUUAAAAAACAUAUGCUUUCUGGAAGAACCAAAUUCAAGAACUCAACAUUUGGGUCUUUGAAGUAUUAGAGAAAUUUCUAAAGUGUUAUUUGUGAUAAUGCCUUAACUUUGUUGUGCUGUUGUCAUGAAUGCAUCCUUUUAAUCAACUGACCCCACACUAUAUAUGAUCUUAUUUGAAAUAAUGAAAGUAAUAAAGCUGGAUCAUAAGACUUCAUUGAGCCCCUUUGCAACAGGCAAUUUAUUUUGAAUUUGCUUUUAUAUAGGUUUGCCUCAGCGAAAUGAGGGCACACAUAAGAUCUUGUCAGAAGUAUAUAGAUAAGUAUGGACCACUGCAAGAACUUGGGGAGACGGCAACAAGGUUUGUUUCAGCACAACAUAGUUGAAUGCUAAAUUUGAUAUGCUUGGGAGAGAAGUUAAUAGGCUGGAACAGUUAACUGUUUUAUUGUGAAAAUAUGUAUGGAGUGUGUUUAGGCUCUGAACCAUAACACCUCCUAUUGGUAAUCAUUUUACAAAAGAAUUUUGCUUUCUGUACUUGAAAAACUUUGCAUGGGGGUACCAACCAAGCACUGGAGAGAUUGGAAGAACUUCCUCAGACAAGUUUGUAUUAAGGAAGAUCCAAAACUAAAACAUGGAACUGUUUUAAGUUCCUCACGGCUCUAUUUUCUGACUAAUAGAUUGACGUAGAUCCUGGAUUCUUUUUCACUCUUCCACUGCCAUUGCUCAGUGCCCCAGCUCGUUUCCUCUUGUGUUGCUGGUUUGUCUUUAGAAGGGAGGAAGUGACACCUCAGUAUAUAGUCUAACAAGGAAGAACAGGUCUGGGGCAGGCAUCUUUUUUGUGGGUAAUCUUAUGGGGCUGGGGGAAGGAUGGAAAUAGUUAGUAGGGGCAAUGAAGAAUAGUGAUCAUUAUUAUUUUUUCCUUUAAAAAAAGAGAAAUGAAUCUGAGCCAUUACUCUCUUGAUGGGCAGAGUAAUUACAAAGGUUGGAGUCUCUCCCUACCAAAAAAAUAUGGAAAUGAUUUGUGUUUUCCUGCAUGGGCUGAUGGCUUUGAAACCAUUAAUCUAAGUAUGAGCUCAGUUAUGAAUAGUGAUAUUCAGUAGGAGUGUGACUUUUUUUCCCUCUCCUGAAGGAAAAUGUAGUUUUACUUAUUUUAAGAAAAUGCACUGAAAGCUCAAAUUUCCUAACCUGAAAGUCUAGAUGAUUGCCCCCUUCCUUUGUUUUACUAGAGAUUGCUUUGCAAAUGUAUCCAUUUACUGUAGGGUUAGUUUUAUACCAUGAUGUUAUAAAUUUUAAAUGAGUAUUUUAGCUCAAAGGAGAGUAUGAAUUCUAUUAGCUUGGUUGCAAGGACCAGUAGGAAGGAAGGACAAUAAAUGGGUUAAGAAAAUGUAUGCGUUUGAUUGCAAGGUUGUUAGCUUUUAUAAAAAUAUAAAAAUAUAUCCAGGCUAAUUUAAAUCCUAAUUUCUUCUGCUAGUUAGAAUUAAGUAAUAAACAAAAUAAUAGAAACUGAGGAGGGUUGUUGAUUAAUCAGUCUUCUAGGAUGGAGUAAGAUUUGCAUUUAAGAUAGAAAUCUUUGCUUCAUAGAAGAACUUAACUGCUGCAUGAUUCAAAUUUUUAAAAUUCUUAAGGGUAUAAGUCUUAGGGAACAGGAAGUUAUAUCUAUGAUAGAAAGCGAGCAAAAAAUUUCAAGCCUCCAUAUUGUACCUAUGCGUUUAAGGCAGCACUGUCCAAUAGAACACAUAUGUGAGUUUAUGUUUUCUAAUAGCCACACUAAAAAGGCAAUAAGAAACAGCAAAAUUAAUUUUUAGUGUAUUUUAUUUAACCAAAGAUAGCUUAAGUGUUACCAUUUGAACAUGUAAUCAAUAUAAACAUUUUUGAGAUAUUUUGCUUUUUUUUAUAUUAAGCGUUUGAAACUCAGUGCAUUUUGUACUUCCAGCAUCACUCAAUUUCAAUAGCCACAUUUUAAGUGACAACAGACGUAUAUGGCUAAUAGCUACUGUACUGGACAGCACGGACGUAAAGGUCAAAUACUCCUUAUAGUCACCUGUAGUAAUAUGCUGGUGGGGCUGAAGAACAAACAACACCCAGUUAUGUUUCCUGAAUUAGGAGAGGGAGGAAGAGAAAGAGAAAAAGUAACCCAGGGACAGCUGGGUGACGUGGUCCCGGUUUGUCAGUUAAUGGGUGCUCAGACUGCACUUCUCUUCCAGAGAGAAUAAAGUGCUUCACGUGCUGCUCUAGCCGUUUCUCCGCGGUGGCCCUGGGAGGAUACUUAACUUUUCUCCAUGAGAAAAAGCAUAGGCAUCUGACCAUUAUCAAGAUCAGAAAAAUAAUGUCAAAUCUGGAAGUUUCCAGAACAAGGGCUGGAAACUAGAUCCGCCUACGUUCUAUUGCUUAGCUCUAGUUAAAUGCUAGCAAUUUUAGUCAUUUUUGUAUUCUGUGCAAUUUCCAGGUGUGUGUGUCCAUUUUGUCAGAGGGAACUGGAUGAAGACAGCUUGCUGGAUCACUGUAUCACUCAUCACAGAUCAGAAAGGAGAUCCGUGGU